AACGAACGCUGGCGGCAUGCCUAACACAUGCAUGUCGAACGAGACCUUCGGGUCUAGUGGCGCACGGGUGCGUAACGCGUGGGAACCUGCCCUUAGGUUCGGAAUAACUCCCCGAAAGGGGUGCUAAUACCGGAUAAUGUCUUCGGACCAAAGAUUUAUCGCCUUUGGAUGGGCCCGCGUUGGAUUAGCUAGUUGGUAGGGUAAAAGCCUACCAAGGCGACGAUCCAUAGCUGGUCUGAGAGGAUGAUCAGCCACACUGGGACUGAGACACGGCCCAGACUCCUACGGGAGGCAGCAGUGGGGAAUAUUGGACAAUGGGCGAAAGCCUGAUCCAGCAAUGCCGCGUGAGUGAUGAGGGCCUUAGGGUUGUAAAGCUCUUUUACCCGGGAUGAUAAUGACAGUACCGGGAGAAUAAGCUCCGGCUAACUCCGUG
This 433-nucleotide ribosomal RNA is filed under the name uncultured bacterium. RNAcentral's name for it is "partial 16S ribosomal RNA". It matches the Rfam family "Bacterial small subunit ribosomal RNA", at positions 29 to 507 of the family's 1533-position model. The record is from RNAcentral.